Molecule: long non-coding RNA, 426 nt
Filed under: Theobroma cacao (cacao)
Lineage: Eukaryota; Viridiplantae; Streptophyta; Magnoliopsida; Malvales; Malvaceae
Description: long non-coding RNA (TCAC_LNC004782)
Source: RNAcentral
GGGUUGUAACUAACCCACUACUCCAAAUGGGUUCAAGCUCCACUGGGCUUCAAAGGUCUCCUCCAAUUCGGUCUGGGCCCAAAGGGCCUGCUGCACUUGUUUUUUGGUUUGGGCUUGAAUAGUCCAAUAAUGCCUUAGCCCAAGGAGGAAGUCAAGCCUGCUGCAACAGCCCACUUAAUCCUCUUCAAUGUGCACCGUUUUUGGCUUCAAAACGACGUCGUUUUGGUCUUUUAUACCUAGCUAUAAAAGCUUCUUUUCUUUUCUCUCUCUUCACUUUCCUCUCUCACUUUCGCUCUCUUGCCGCCACUCUCUCUAUCUUCUCCUUAAGCUUUUCUUUUUUUUUCUUCCUCAUUCUUCCUCUCUCUCUUUCUCUCUCUUGCCGCCACUCUCUCUAUCUUCUCCUUAAGCUUUUCUUUUUUUUUUUUU